UACGUAGGGUGCGAGCGUUGUCCGGAAUUACUGGGCGUAAAGAGCUCGUAGGUGGUUUGUCACGUCGUCUGUGAAAUUCCGGGGCUUAACCUCGGGCGUGCAGGCGAUACGGGCAAUACUUGAGUGCUGUAGGGGAGACUGGAAUUCCUGGUGUAGCGGUGAAAUGCGCAGAUAUCAGGAGGAACACCAAUGGCGAAGGCAGGUCUCUGGGCCACUACUGACGCUGAGAAGCGAAAGCAUGGGGAGCGAACAGGAUUAGA
Molecule: ribosomal RNA, 260 nt
Filed under: uncultured prokaryote
Description: partial 16S ribosomal RNA
Rfam family: Bacterial small subunit ribosomal RNA
Source: RNAcentral